This 382-nucleotide ribosomal RNA is filed under the name uncultured eukaryote. RNAcentral describes it as "partial 18S ribosomal RNA". It matches the Rfam family "Eukaryotic small subunit ribosomal RNA", at positions 592 to 976 of the family's 1831-position model. The record is from RNAcentral.
UGUAAGUGUAUACCAAAGUUGUUGCAGUUAAAACGCUCGUAGUCGGAAUUUGGCAGUUCCGGAUGUGUGCACGUCGUGUGCGCACUUCGCGGGGAUUGCUUUUGUGGUCUUGCGUAGGAUGAGGCACUUUUAUUAGUGAACGUCCUCACGCAACCACUUUUUACUGUGAGAAAAUCAGAGUGCUCAAAGCAGGCAUUUGCCGUGAAUGUAUUAGCAUGGAAUAAUAGAAUAGGACUUGGUUCUAUUUUGUUGGUUUGUUGGGACUGAGUAAUGAUUAAGAGGGACAGUUGGGGGCAUUUGUAUUUCGGUGCUAGAGGUGAAAUUCUUAGAUUACCGAAAGACAAACUGCUGCGAAAGCGUCUGCCAAGGAUGUUUUCAUUGA